RNAcentral lists this long non-coding RNA (5197 nucleotides) under Zostera marina. RNAcentral describes it as "long non-coding RNA (ZMAR_LNC002389)". Lineage: Eukaryota; Viridiplantae; Streptophyta; Magnoliopsida; Alismatales; Zosteraceae. The record is from RNAcentral.
GCCAGAUGAGUCUGCCUUUGUUAUUGCCGCAAGGGAAGUAGGUUUCGAAUUUUACCAGAGAACACAAACAGCCAUCUCUCUUCAUGAAUUCAGUCCUUCAACAGGAAUGACAAUUGAAAAGUUAGUAUAAACUAUAACAUGUCAAAAAUUAUAUUGUUUCGUUUAUUUUCUUCUCUCACAAUUGAUUUACCUCUCAGGGACUACCAACUGUUAAAUAUCAUCGAAUUCAACAGUACACGAAAACGGAUGUCCGUUAUAGUUAGAACAGAGAAAGGCAAAUUAUUGCUUUUAUGCAAAGGCGCCGACAAGUUAGUUAUCUUCCCAAUCAUACAUAUACAUUUUUCUUCUUCUCCUUUUUCGAUUUUGUCACUCAGAGUUCUUACCAUAAAAGGGUGUGUUUGCUUUUAGCAUCAUGUUUGAACUGCUUGGGGAAAAUGGAAGGAGAUUUGAGGCCAAUACAACAGAUCAUAUAAACAAGUAUGCAGAUGCCGGAUUAAGAACCUUGGUGCUUGCUUAUCGUGAGCUUAAUGAAGAGGAAUAUGAUGUCUUCAACAAGAAGUACACUGAGGCAAAACUAUCUGUCAGUGCAGAUCGAGAUGAGAAGAUUGCUGCAGCUGCAGAAUUGGUGGAGAAGGAUUUUAUGCUUCUUGGCGCCACAGCCGUAGAGGACAAGCUUCAGAGUGGGGUAAGUAACUGAGUAUACCAUAUUAAGAUGAACAUUGUUAUUAUUUAGAAAAUAUAUCUUUUUAAAUAUUUUCUUGCUUAAACUAAAUAAACUCAUGCAUGUCUUCUUAGGUUCCUGAAUGUAUAGACAAGCUUGCUCAAGCCGGAAUCAAAAUUUGGGUGCUUACUGGAGACAAGAUGGAGACUGCAAUCAAUAUUGGGUAUGCUAUUCAUUGCAAUUAGAUAAUAUACUACUACAAACAUUAAGUAUUUAAUUUAUAAGGAAUUACAAAUCCCAAUGCUAACUUGGAUUAUAAAUUGCAGUUUUGCAUGUAGUCUGCUGAGACAAGGUAUGAAACAGAUUGUUGUCACCUUGGAUUUACCCGAAAUCAAAGCAUUAGAGAAAGAAGAAGGCAGCAAGGAAGCAAUGAAAGAAGCCAUUUCUAAGGUAACUUUUUUCACACAUCAAUUUAAAUAAGCACGAUAUCUGGUCUAACCACUACUUUUUUUAAAUCUAAUCCUACACCUCUAAUAAAAUUUCAGGCAUCGAAAGCUAGUAUUAUUCAACAGGUCAAUGAGGGGAAGAAACUUAUUGAUGCAUCUCCCAAUAAUGCAUUUGCUUUAAUUAUUGAUGGAAACUCACUUACAUACGCUUUGGGGGAUGAUGUUAAAGAGUUUUUUCUAGCUUUAGCCAUUGGAUGUGCAUCUGUGAUUUGCUGUCGUUCUUCGCCCAAACAGAAGGCUCUUGUAAGUUUUUGUUAUAACCAACCUACCAAAAUGUUGUUGUUCAUUCAUCUAAUUUUGAUAAGGGUGUAAAAAAAUGUAGGUCACAAGACUUGUUAAAGAAGGAACGGGCAAAACAACGUUGGGUAUUGGCGAUGGAGCAAAUGAUGUUGGUAUGCUUCAAGAAGCUGAUGUAGGGAUUGGUAUUAGUGGUUUUGAAGGAAUGCAGGUAAUAUAUCAAUUAUCAAAUACUUUUUCUAUUGAGAAUAUGAAGCUAGUUCAGUGUGUAACUAUUUAUUGUUAAAACUUAAAAAAAUUCAGGCUGUUAUGGCAAGUGACAUUGCUAUUGCUCAGUUCCGUUAUUUGGAACGUUUGCUGCUUGUGCAUGGACACUGGUGUUAUCGUCGGAUCACAUCAAUGGUAUAUCCUUAAGAAACAAAAAAAAUGCAUUUAUGUCUAAAAGUAUCAUUAUCAUUUGUCUCCCGUUAAUUAUUCUAUUUCUUUUGAUUUCACAGAUAUGCUACUUCUUUUAUAAGAACAUCGCUUUUGGGAUAACUUUGUAUCUAUUUGAAGCUUACACCACCUUCUCUGGCGAAGCCCUCUACAACGAAUGGUUCUUGUCAUUUUUUAACGUCUUCUUCACAUCACUGCCUGUAUUAGUUCUUGGUAUCUUCGAUCAAGAUGUUUCUGCAAAAUCUUGUCUCAAGGUAAUUUAAGAAUCACCUGUGUUUCUAUACAUGACUUGAUUUUGCAUCAAACAAAAUAUUAAGUGUCACUCUGUCAUUCCUGCAGUUCCCUCUGUUGUACAAGGAAGGCAUUGAAAACGUUCUCUUUAGUUACAAACGCAUAUUUGGUUGGAUCUUUACUGCAAUCCUUAAUGCAUUCACUAUCUUCUACUUUUGCACAGCUGCAAUCCAAGAUCAGGCCUUCCGUAAAGGUGGGCAAACUUUAAGCCAAGAUAUCCUUGGUCUUGUAAUGUACACAACUCUGGUGUGGGUUGUGAAUGUACAAAUGGCGAUCUUUGUCAAAUACUUUACACUUGUUCAACAUAUCACUAUAUGGGGAAGCAUAGCUGUGUGGUAUCUGUUCAUGUUGGCAUAUGGUGCUAUCACACCUACCAUAUCAACAAAUGCUUACAUGGUAUUCAUAGAAGCUGCAGGUCCCUCAGCUAUUUAUUGGUUCUUAACGCUGUUCGUUGUGAUUGCCUCUGUAAUUCCGUACUUUGCUUAUUCUGCAUUCAUGGUGAGGUUCUUCCCCAUGUUCCACGAAAUGAUUCAGUGGCAGAAGAAGGUUGAUGGGCAGAGUGAUGAUCCUGAAUUUGUAGAGAUGGUGCGUGCAAGGUCUAUAAGAUCGAACACGGUUGGGUUUAGUGCUCGAAGAGAAUCACUACUAUCCUAAUCCAUUUGUAUGUACAUAGCAUAUUUAUUUACAGUACACGGCCAAUUCCGAGCAUUGUCGGAUUACACGAUUGAAAUUUUGAAAUCAGUAGUAGUUGAGUAACUGUAAUUUGUAAAUGUACGUAAUUCACACAGUGAUACAGUUAGAGGGCCUUGAGAGGCAGGCAGAUUCUAUAUAUUGACUGAUAUACGUAGUUUAUUUGUACAUAUUUGUAUUUUUUUGGGUGAAUAAACAUUGGAUUUUAAUUAGUUUGCGGUCUUGCAGUCGUUUUCUGUUUACUCCUAAGAAGAUGUAAUUGAUAAUUCAGCGGUUUAUUAUAACUUAUAUAUAAGUGUAAAAUUGAGAGAAUAUUUGUUUCCAUUAAUAUAUUAACAGAAUAACACCUGAAUUCCUGAAUGUAGGGGUGAGAUCUGGGACCGAUCCGAGGCAGGGAAAAUCAUAAAAAUCCAAAUGAUUUGAUCCCGUUGCGAACAAUGGGAUGAAAACAAGUAGACAACUCUGUCUGAAUUGGGCACCAAAUAAAUUAAUUAUACACAUUUUUUAUUUGAGGCCGUGGCUCGUGUUGCGAUGUUGUAGACUUGCAGUGUUGAACUGUUGAUGUAUGAUUUUUGAACUUUGAAGCCAGGAAGGACCCAAGGGUAGGCUGGUAAUUCAGUGGUCUAUAUUCUACAAUUUGGAGGGGGAAAUAAAUACCUAGAUAUAAUUUUGAACAAUAUUUGCAAGAAAUAAUAACAAUAUUAAUUUCCCAGAGGGGCAGUCGGGCACAGGCCAUAUCUCAAAUCGUCUUUUGCUCCUCCUCAGUCCUCCCUCCCUCCCUGUUGAAGUCAUGAAAUGUAGGGUGUUCACCGUCCAACUUAUUCUUACUCUAUGCUAAGGCCUAAGACCCUAAGAUCAAGUUCAUCAUCCACAACGAUAUCACUUCAUUUCUUUGUAGAUUGGGCAUUUUAAUAAAAAAUGAUUGUCAUCGCCGCUGCUUCACUCCGAUUCUCAUCUUCUUCGCACGCUGUGUUUCCUUCUCUCUUUCUGCCGGUUCAUACUUCACGACAAUUCCUCCUGGUACCAGCGAGGCGAGACAGCAGUAUAUCUUGUAUCGAUUUUUCUCCUCCUCCUCCUCCUCCUCCUUCUCCUUCUUCGUCGUCGUCUGACGGAAAUGGAGGGAUGAGAUGGGAGUCUUUUCGCAAGAAGAAAGUUGUGAUGCGUGUGGGAUAUGUAGGCACGGAUUACAGAGGUAAUAUAUUUGCAUUUCCUCUCUCUUAUCUUCUUUAUUUCUAAAUUUCUUUUGUAUUUUUUCCCUUGUCCGUAUUUUCUUAAUUUCUCAUCCCCUUAAAAAAAAUCAAUCUUUCUUCUUCUUCUUUCAAAUUCAGGUCUGCAGAUUCAAAGAGGUCCUGGAUCAUUUCCAAGUAAGACAAUAAUCUUACUCUACUACUUGAUUAACUGAUUUUACAUUUCACUUUUCUUUUGCAUCGAUGUAGUUAAUAAUUGUGUUAUCAAUUUUUCGAACUAGUUCUUCAUUGUCUCUUUUUUAACUUUAUAGUUAAGAUAAAUAUUGAUAGGUUUAUAACUUUAUAUUGGCUUAUGUGAUCUUCAGAAUUUGGAUAACUAUUUUUUUUAAUGUUUCCAUCAAUGUUCACUUUUAAAAAAGUUUGCAACUUUAUACUGUCCACGAGUUUCAUACUACUUAAUGAGUUAUUGUUACUUUCUUAGUGUGUGUUCUUUCCUAUGUUAAUAUGUUUUACUUGUAUCUCAGAAACAUACAAUUUUUUUUAUCAUAUUAACUAUCAGGAGUCAGGACUUGUUAAUUUAAUUAAUGAUACUUACUACUAAAUCAUUGAAGAUCGAAAACCCAUUGUUAAAGGUUCAAAAUCUUACCUGCAGCAAUUGAAGGAGAAUUAGAAGCUGCUAUAUUUAGGGCAGGAGGUAUCCAUAACGGUAAUUUUGGGGAUCUUUACAAAAUUGGGUGGACUAGAAGUAGCAGAACUGAUAAAGGUGUAAGUGAUAUAUAUAUAGUUUCAUAAUCAUUAAUGCUAAACGACAUAUGUAAAGUUUUUUUUAAAAUUGAGGUAUAUAUUCGAUAUCUGUAACUGUAAAUCUCUAAUACUAAUUUGGUAUUAUGGAUCAGCACUGAAAGCAUUUUUGUAGGAUGUCAAAUAUAUAUCUUCAUUGAAAUUUGAAAUAAAAAAAUGGUUCAUUUGUUAGUCGUUACCCGGGAGUAGGAUCUAGGGGCAAUUUUUUUUUACCUGCUUUACAAAAUUCGCACCAUGCCUGAGACCCGCUGAUCCGCUGUUAUUUUGGAGAAGGAAUGAAGGAUGAAUCACAUCAUUCGCCUUAUAUUCUGAACCGCUCCGUUCACCCUUAUUUUUCAGGAGGCAGGCUUCUCUAUUCUUAUCUCUAGUUCCUACAAGAGAAGCCAAAA